GGCUGUUCUCAAGUGAUUUUCCCACCUAACUUUCCAUGCCAAGAUGACAAAACCCAUCCAGAGACCUUUCAGGAUCUUCGCUGCAGUUGCACAGCUCUAGGUAUAGAGAAUAUGGCAGAGCUCGACUCCUGAGGACAAUAAACAUUGGGAAGAGGAGUACAUUGAUACUUUACACUCUCCAUCCCAAGACCGUGAGGAUCAUUUGCUCCAGCCCAGUGAACCAGAUUACCCCAACUGAGAAUCUGGCUCGAUAUGUCUUGCCUCUUAAGUGAAGAACACACUUCUAGACCCAUGAGCCAAGUCAUCCAAUGAUCUCAAAGCACUUUGCAAGCACCACAGUAUCUC
Molecule: long non-coding RNA, 345 nt
Organism: Dermochelys coriacea (leatherback sea turtle)
Lineage: Eukaryota; Metazoa; Chordata; Testudines; Dermochelyidae
Exons: 3
Source: RefSeq, a predicted model, not a curated record